CCUACGGGGCGCAGCAGUGAGGAAUAUUGGUCAAUGGCCGCAAGCCUGAACCAGCCAAGUCGCGUGAAGGACGACUGCCCUAUGGGUUGUAAACCUCUUUUAUAAAGGAAUAAUGUGUGCUACGUGUACCAUUAUGCAUGUACUUUAUGAAUAAGCAUCGGCUAACUCCGUGCCAGCAGCCGCGGUAAUACGGAGGAUCCGAGCGUUAUCCGGAUUUAUUGGGUUUAAAGGGUGCGUAGGGGGGUUUUUAAGUUAGUGGUAAAACGUCGGGGCUAAACCUUGAAUUGCAAUUUAUACUUUUAGACUUGAGUGCAGAUGAGGUAGGCGGAAUUAGUGGUGUAGCGGUGAAAUGCUUAGAUAUAACGUAGAACUCCGAUAGCGAAGGCAGCUUACCAGACUGCGACUGACGCUGAAGCACGAGAGCGUGGGUAGCGAACAGGAUUAGAUACCCUAGUAGUC
Molecule: ribosomal RNA, 459 nt
Filed under: uncultured bacterium
Lineage: Bacteria
Description: partial 16S ribosomal RNA
Rfam family: Bacterial small subunit ribosomal RNA
Source: RNAcentral